GUGUGUGUGUAGAUAUAAAAAUCUAGAGAGAGAGAAAGAUGAAAGUACGUUUCGAAGUUACGAACGGUGACGUUUUGUGUUCUUGUUGUUUUUCCAAUUGAUUGUUUUAUACUACUGUAUUCUAAAAAGUUUCCCCCUCCUCUUCACACAAAUAUCGACUGGAGUUAAGAGCAAAUUUAGUGAAGGUUCGUGACAGACACCAGGAUGACACCAUCGUUGAAGUUAUCCAUCCCUGCUGUAAUUGAUCAUUCAGAAUCUGAAUCCGGUCCUGUUAAAUUAACUUGGAUACCUAUUCCAAUAUCGGCCAGGCCGUAUUGGGGUAUCGAUAUCCAAAUAUCGAUCCAUCCUACUCUGGCGUAUGUAACAUAAAUAAAUAGCGGAACCAUGAAAGGUGGGCGCGUGUGAGAGAGUGGUCAGAUCAUCCUGUAGGUGUCGAAGUGACAGCCAGAACUCGAGCGUGUCUCUGGAGGGGUGCCACGCACAGAGGCUUCGCUUGACCAGUAAGUAUCACUUUUGACUUGAGAAGAUUCUGUUUUUAUUGUUUUGCAAGUGCAAUUCAAAAUCUCUUGAAAGAAUAGAGCUCUACUGGACGGUCGUUGCAAAUGAGGUUGUGGUGAUGCUAAUAAUGACGGGCUCUGAUUUAAAAAAAAAACAAAAAACAAACAACAUAAAAAUGAUGAUUUGCAGAAUUUGACCAUCUAGCCAGAUUAGACAUAUUGUACAUUGGGUCCUUCCUCCAGUACAGUAUAAGAUCCAUACAUAAAAUGACAUGUUAUUUAUUGGAUUGAGUUUUCUGCAUUUCUUUAUAUUCAUGAAGAGAAUUUUGACGUUUAAAUGUGCACAGCUUUAACUACACUUUUGUAUCAAGUAGUUAAUUCCAGUGAAAAUGUUUGAAUCUAUAAACUUGACUAAACAAACAAACAAACAAAAAAGCUUUGCUCCACCCUGAACAUGCACUGAAUGUGAUUGAGCGGGAAAUCCAUCCAUCAAUGUGCGUCCUGCUGCUUUCUCUGUGUUGUUUUUCUUUGAAAGAUCACCCCGUGAAAUAAUGGAUCUAAUGGAGUCGGAGGACAUGGGCGGCGGCUGUGAAGAGAAGAACUGUGGCCCAGCGUCAGCCUUUCUGGAGGACUGUUCCAGCCAAGAUUGCGAUUGGGAUCAACCUCUGUUUGGAUUCACUGAGCUGGUGGGCGUGACGAUCAUCUACAUUCCCCUACUGCUGUUUGGUCUCCUCGGAAAUGUCCUCACAAUUUUAGUGGUUUGGCUACGUCCGCACAUGAGGAGUUCUUCCUACUUGUACCUGAGCAGCAUGGCUGUGAGUGAUCUGAUGAUACUCCUGCUCCUACCUCUGGAUCUCUACAAGCUAUGGAAGCCCAGACCGUGGCCCUUCGGAGACCUGGCCUGUAAGAUGACCAUGUUCCUGUCCGAGUGUUGCACCUUCUGCACCAUCCUGCACAUUACCUUCCUCUCCCUGGAGAGAUAUGUGGCAGUCUGCUGGCCAAUGACAGCAAAGACAUUGGUAACGCGCCGCAGGACCAGGGCUCUCAUCGGCUGCCUGUGGCUGGGCGCCGCGGUCAGCGCGGCGCCGGUCUUGGUGAUGGUUGGGGUCGAGGAGGUCGGACAAGAAGAUCUCAGGCUCGGCGGUUGGAGGGAGAACGCGAGGUGGAUGGGCGAGGACGGAGAACCGCCGGGCUUCGCACCGGCUGCGGAUGAGGGAGGACGUCCGUCGUCUUCGUUUGAGGGAGAACGAGAGGAACGAAAAUGGGGAGAGCGAGAGAGGCGGCGUGAAAGGGUCAGAGAGUUGAAAUUGUUCGAUGAGGAAGAAGAAGGAAUGGAAGCAGUCGGUGAGCCGAACAAAAAACACGCAGGUGAAAUCAGAAAUGAAACGCAAGAGGACGCCACGGGAGGCCAGCAAAACAAAAUGAAAGAAGACGAAGGAGGAGGAUGGGAAGCGAGUGUCGCCGGACACGCCGCCGACAGAAGAGAGUGCCGCUGCACGCAAUACGCCAUUUCCUCUGGCCUCCUGUCCGCCAUGAUGAUUGUGUCCAACCUGUACUUCCUGGUCCCGGUCUGCGUCCUCGCACUGGUCUACGGUAUGAUCGGAAGGACACUUUGGCUGCGCCCUCAGAGCAGCCGCAGAGACCAAAGUCAUCGGCACGCCGUCAAAAUGCUCGGAGUGAUCGUGAUGGCAUUUGUCCUCUGCUGGCUGCCCUUCCACAUUGGUCGGACGAUAUUCGUUUUCUCCCUGGGCACCGGUGCCGACCAACAGAAUCUCGACACUGAUGAAUCCAUCGACAACGUCGGCGCCGUUACGGAAGGUGCUCGAGCAGACUCGCGCGUCAAUUCGAAACCGCCUUAUUCUUACGAACCACCCACCAGAAGUCAACAACUGCACCCACGCGGACUUCCAAAAGAUUCAGCUCGCCCCCAACCGUCACCGCUUACAGAUAAGACGAGGCGAUAUAACAGCAGCACCGCGAACUCCAAACUAUAUCACGCGACCCGGGCGCAAACGGCUCAGGGCUCACACGAGAGCGCACGUCUGAGUUCCCGUCACUCGGGGCAGAGCGCCACCCUCGACGCGGCCUCAACAAGCGACGAGACGCGUCAACGCAGCUGCGUAUUUCAACCUGGGCUCCUCCGUGCUCUACUACCUGAGUGCUGCUGUCAAUCCCUUGCUGUACAACGUCAUGUCAGCCAGAUACCGACACGCCGUCCGCGGUCUCCUGCGUAGGAGCGCACGCUCGCAAAGACGGGACCAACGUUUGCGGACGCUUGACACCCAGCGCGCCACUUUGAACAUGAGGGCCGAAUGUGCCGCGCGCCCUCGCCGAACACAUUUGACACACGGCACACGAUUUUGCGCUUAUUGUAUUGCAUGCUGGACACACCGCUGAAUGCCUUUAUUGGAUUCUCCCCCGCCACCAUAACGGCGUUGUUCCCGCGUUGUCGGCUUCGCGAUGGUUUUCCUGAAGUUUGGAAAAAACGGAGCGGCCUCGGGCGAAAGGACAAUUGAUUGGAUUGGAUUUGUGAGCCGGGCUCUUCCUGACAUUGGCUGUUGAUGUCUUGUUCCAGAGCAACAACAUUCAUCGAUAAAAUUGAGAGUGACUUCUCAGAUGAGUGGGGAAAUCAUUCACCUUUAUAGUUUGCUGUCACAUGACAUCAUAUCGCACACCAAGAUCAUUGCAGGACACAAAAGCCGUCGGGUACUGCGUCUGACUUUUUUUUUUUUUUUUCUUCAGUGGCCAUACGAUUGCAAAUGUUGCUG
Hippocampus comes (tiger tail seahorse) is the source of this 3265-nucleotide RNA transcript. RefSeq lists it as uncharacterized. Lineage: Eukaryota; Metazoa; Chordata; Actinopteri; Syngnathiformes; Syngnathidae. The record is from RefSeq and is a predicted model, not a curated record. The transcript has 6 exons.